Dipodomys ordii (Ord's kangaroo rat) is the source of this 71-nucleotide non-coding RNA. NCBI's taxonomy places the organism in Eukaryota, Metazoa, Chordata, Mammalia, Rodentia, Heteromyidae. The record is from Rfam.
GGGAAGGUGGCUCAGUGGUAGAGUGCUUGCCUCACAUGCAUGAGUCCCUGGGUUCAAUUCCUCAGCACCCU